RNAcentral lists this ribosomal RNA (407 nucleotides) under uncultured bacterium. RNAcentral's name for it is "partial 16S ribosomal RNA". It matches the Rfam family "Bacterial small subunit ribosomal RNA", at positions 30 to 526 of the family's 1533-position model. The record is from RNAcentral.
AUUGAACGCUGGCGGCAGGCCUAACACAUGCAAGUCGAGCGGAGCGGCGGACGGGUGAGUAAUGAAUAGGAAUAUGCCUGGUAGUGGGGGAUAACGUCCGGAAACGGGCGCUAAUACCGCAUACUAUCAGAUGAGCCUAGGUCGGAUUAGCUAGUUGGUGGGGUAAAGGACUACCAAGGCGACGAUCCGUAACUGGUCUGAGAGGAUGAUGAGUCAUACUGGAACUGAGACACGGUCCAGACGCCUACGUGAGGCAGCAGUGGGGAAUAUUGGACAAUGGGCGGAAGCCUGAUCCAGCCAUGCCGCGUGUGUGAAGAAGGUCUUCGGAUUGUAAAGCCCUUUAAGUUGGGAGGCGUUACCAUCAGAAUAAGCACCGGCUAACUUCGUGCCAGCCGCCGCGGUAAUUC